Molecule: ribosomal RNA, 485 nt
Filed under: uncultured bacterium
Lineage: Bacteria
Description: partial 16S ribosomal RNA
Rfam family: Bacterial small subunit ribosomal RNA
Source: RNAcentral
UUGAACGCUGGCGGCAUGCCUUACACCUGCAAGUCGAACGGCAGCACGGGUGCUUGCACCUGGUGGCGAGUGGCGAACGGGUGAGUAAUACAUCGGAACAUGUCCUGUAGUGGGGGAUAGCCCGGCGAAAGCCGGAUUAAUACCGCAUACGAUCCACGGAUGAAAGCGGGGGACCUUCGGGCCUCGCGCUAUAGGGUUGGCCGAUGGCUGAUUAGCUAGUUGGUGGGGUAAAGGCCUACCAAGGCGACGAUCAGUAGCUGGUCUGAGAGGACGACCAGCCACACUGGGACUGAGACACGGCCCAGACUCCUACGGGAGGCAGCAGUGGGGAAUUUUGGACAAUGGGCGAAAGCCUGAUCCAGCAAUGCCGCGUGUGUGAAGAAGGCCUUCGGGUUGUAAAGCACUUUUGUCCGGAAAGAAAUCCUUGACUCUAAUACAGUCGGGGGAUGACGGUACCGGAAGAAUAAGCACCGGCUAACUACGUG